AAGUACCACUCGCACACGCCGGUUCCUGCGCCACCUGACGACUGCUCGCUACGCCGUGUUAGCC
RNAcentral lists this small RNA (64 nucleotides) under Xanthomonas arboricola pv. populi. RNAcentral's name for it is "sX9 sRNA". It matches the Rfam family "Xanthomonas sRNA sX9". Lineage: Bacteria; Pseudomonadati; Pseudomonadota; Gammaproteobacteria; Lysobacterales; Lysobacteraceae. The record is from RNAcentral.